RNAcentral lists this ribosomal RNA (253 nucleotides) under uncultured bacterium. RNAcentral's name for it is "partial 16S ribosomal RNA". It matches the Rfam family "Bacterial small subunit ribosomal RNA", at positions 524 to 776 of the family's 1533-position model. The record is from RNAcentral.
UACGGGGGGGGCAAGCGUUGUUCGGAAUUACUGGGCGUAAAGGGCUCGUAGGCGGCCAACUAAGUCGGACGUGAAAUCCCCAGGCUCAACCUGGGAACUGCGUCCGAUACUGGAUGGCUUGAGUUUGGGAGAGGGACGCGGAAUUCCAGGUGUAGCGGUGAAAUGCGUAGAUAUCUGGAGGAACACCGGUGGCGAAGGCGGCGUCCUGGACCAACACUGACACUGAUGAGCGAAAGCCAGGGGAGCAAACGGG